CAAUACAUUAUAUUGUGAAAUACAAAAAACAAUGGAGGAACUGUUGAACGACGUUGUGCCCCAAGAAGAUUUGGAGAGAUUCGAAAGAAAAUACCACCAUGAGCUUGAACUCGAUGGCGAGGUCUCAACAGAAACAAAAUUUGAAUACGCUUUCUGUCUCGUUCGGAGUCGGUACACCAACGACAUCAGAAAGGGCAUCAUGAUUUUGGAGGAUCUUGCUCGGUUACACCCGGAUGGACGACGCGAUUACAUUUAUUAUCUCGCCUUUGGAAAUGCACGAAUUAAAAACUAUUCAGAAGGCCUAAAGUACUGUAGAGCAUUUCUCGAAAUUGAAUCGAAUGAUCAAGUGCGCUCGUUAGAGGAGCACAUUAAGAAACAAAGCGAUAAGGAGGUUGCGAAGGGUAUUGCGGUUGCUGGAGGAGCUGCGCUCGUGCUCGGUGGCAUAUUGGGUCUAGGAAUCGCAAUGGCUAGAAAGUAAAAUAUUAAUAUUCACGAGCAAUUAUCACAUCUCAUUUAUUUCGUAUGCCGUGAUUUUAUACACAAGUGAACUAUCAUAAUUUAUGAACACAGUUUUAGUUUAAACCAAAACGUGAAAAAUAGUGAAAAAUGUGAUAAUAAUCUUUACGGAAUCCGAUUCCCUCCCAAUAUGUAUACAUCAAUAUACUAUCACUGUGAGGACAUGGGUUAAGCACAUAGCGCCAAUUAAUUAAUCUAUAAUAUAUUUCAAUUAUUACAAUUUCUUCAUUAGACUUUAUUCAUUUUUUUUGUAAUUACAUAUAUAGUUAUGAAGUAGUUGAUAUGAGCAAACUUAUAUAUAUAUAUAUUAAUUAAUACGCCCUGUUCAUUGCCAAAGAUUUUGGUGCAAUAAAUCAUCAAACUGGUUUUUUGAUUGUUCUCGAAUA
RNA transcript from Drosophila novamexicana, 902 nucleotides. It is a transcript of the gene named mitochondrial fission 1 protein, with no coding region annotated. NCBI's taxonomy places the organism in Eukaryota, Metazoa, Arthropoda, Insecta, Diptera, Drosophilidae. The transcript is spliced from 6 exons. The record is from RefSeq and is a predicted model, not a curated record.